RNAcentral lists this ribosomal RNA (429 nucleotides) under Chloroflexota bacterium. RNAcentral describes it as "Chloroflexi bacterium partial 16S ribosomal RNA". It matches the Rfam family "Bacterial small subunit ribosomal RNA", at positions 355 to 776 of the family's 1533-position model. Lineage: Bacteria; Bacillati; Chloroflexota. The record is from RNAcentral.
UGGGGAAUAUUGCACAAUGGGCGCAAGCCUGAUGCAGCCAUGCCGCGUGUAUGAAGAAGGCCUUCGGGUUGUAAAGUACUUUCAGUCGGGAGGAAGGUGGUAAGGUUAAUAACCUUAUCAAUUGACGUUACCGACAGAAGAAGCACCGGCUAACUCCGUGCCAGCAGCCGCGGUAAUACGGAGGGUGCAAGCGUUAAUCGGAAUUACUGGGCGUAAAGCGCACGCAGGCGGUUGAUUGAGUCAGAUGUGAAAUCCCCGGGCUUAACCCGGGAAUUGCAUCUGAUACUGGUCAGCUAGAGUCUUGUAGAGGGGGGUAGAAUUCCAUGUGUGGCGGUGAAAUGCGUAGAGAUGUGGAGGAAUACCGGUGGCGAAGGCGGCCCCCUGGACAAAGACUGACGCUCAGGUGCGAAAGCGUGGGGAGCAAACAGG